GCAGAUGGCCAGGCGUUCGCUGCGUCAGAUUCUGGCGGAGAGGAAAGUCCGGGCUCCACAGGACACGAUGGUGGGUAACGCCCACCGUCCGCGAGGACAGGGCAAGUGCAACAGAAAGCAAACCGCCUGAACGAUGCACUUCAUCGAGGUAUGUUGUGAGGCAAAGCCGGCAACGGCUUUCCAGGUAAGGGUGAAACGGUGCGGUAAGAGCGCACCAGCGAUUCAGGUGACUGAGUCGGCUGGGUAAACCCCAUCGGGAGCAAGGCUAAGCAGAAGGAUGGGUGUCUUCGGGCGCACACAAUUCGGUUCGGGUUGAUAUUCCUUCGGGUCAGCUGCUGGAGGUGUCGAGCAAUCGGCAUCGUAGAUAAAUGAACGUCCGCGACGGGUAACUGUCGUUGACAAAACCCGGCUUAUCGGCCAUCUGUAGAC
Molecule: RNase P RNA, 429 nt
Filed under: Fuerstiella sp.
Lineage: Bacteria; Pseudomonadati; Planctomycetota; Planctomycetia; Planctomycetales; Planctomycetaceae
Description: RNase P RNA component class A
Rfam family: Bacterial RNase P class A
About the family: Ribonuclease P (RNase P) is a ubiquitous endoribonuclease, found in archaea, bacteria and eukarya as well as chloroplasts and mitochondria. Its best characterised activity is the generation of mature 5'-ends of tRNAs by cleaving the 5'-leader elements of precursor-tRNAs.
Source: RNAcentral